This 430-nucleotide ribosomal RNA is filed under the name uncultured bacterium. RNAcentral's name for it is "partial 16S ribosomal RNA". It matches the Rfam family "Bacterial small subunit ribosomal RNA", at positions 29 to 506 of the family's 1533-position model. The record is from RNAcentral.
AACGAACGCUGGCGGCAGGCCUAACACAUGCAAGUCGAGCGCCCCGCAAGGGGAGCGGCGGACGGGUGAGUAACGCGUGGGAAUAUGCCCUUUGCUACGGAAUAGUCUCGGGAAACUGGGGGUAAUACCGUAUACGCCCUUUGGGGGAAAGAUUUAUCGGCGAAGGAUUAGCCCACGUUGGAUUAGGUAGUUGGUGGGGUAAUGGCCUACCAAGCCGACGAUCCAUAGCUGGUUUGAGAGGAUGAUCAGCCACACUGGGACUGAGACACGGCCCAGACUCCUACGGGAGGCAGCAGUGGGGAAUCUUAGACAAUGGGGGCAACCCUGAUCUAGCCAUGCCGCGUGAGUGAUGAAGGCCUUAGGGUUGUAAAGCUCUUUCAGCUGGGAAGAUAAUGACGGUACCAGCAGAAGAAGCCCCGGCUAACUCCGU